ACCUGACUGCUAUCGGAUUGAUACUAAGCCAUGCGAGUCAUUGUAGCAAUACAAGGCAUACGGCUCAGUAACGCGUAGUCAACCUAACCUAUGGACGGGAAUAACCUCGGGAAACUGAGAAUAAUGCCCGAUAGAACAUUAUGCCUGGAAUGGUUUAUGUUCCAAAUGAUUUAUCGCCAUAGGAUGGGACUGCGGCCUAUCAGUUUGUUGGUGAGGUAAUGGCCCACCAAGACUAUUACAGGUACGGGCUCUGAGAGGAGUAGCCCGGAGAUGGGUACUGAGACACGGACCCAGGCCCUAUGGGGCGCAGCAGGCGAGAAAACUUUGCAAUGUGCGAAAGCACGACAAGGUUAAUCCGAGUGAUUUCUGCUAAAGAGAUCUUUUGUUAGUCCUAGAAACACUAACGAAUAAGGGGUGGGCAAGUUCUGGUGUCAGCCGCCGCGGUAAAACCAGCACCUCAAGUGGUCAGGAUGAUUAUUGGGCCUAAAGCAUCCGUAGCCGGCUCUGUAAGUUUUCGGUUAAAUCUGUACGCUCAACGUACAGGCUGCCGGGAAUACUGCAGAACUAGGGAGUGGGAGAGGUAGACGGUACUCGGUAGGAAGUGGUAAAAUGCUUUGAUCUAUCGAUGACCACCUGUGGCGAANGCGGUCUACCAGAACACGUCCGACGGUGAGGGAUGAAAGCUGGGGGAGCAAACCGGAUUAGAUACCCGGGUAGUCCCAGCUGUAAACUAUGCAAACUCAGUGAUGCAUUGGCUUGUGGCCAAUGCAGUGCUGCAGGGAAGCCGUUAAGUUUGCCGCCUGGGAAGUACGUACGCAAGUAUGAAACUUAAAGGAAUUGGCGGGGGAGCACCACAAGGGGUGAAGCCUGCGGUUC
Molecule: ribosomal RNA, 876 nt
Filed under: uncultured crenarchaeote
Lineage: Archaea; Thermoproteati; Thermoproteota
Description: bacterial SSU rRNA
Rfam family: Archaeal small subunit ribosomal RNA
Source: RNAcentral